GCAAGACUAAGGAAAGAUUGGAUAUAUUGAGCGCAUUGAUGGCCGCAAGCAAAAGCAACGGCAAAAUAUGAGUGUUUUUUUUCAGUGAGAGUGAGAGUGAUGGAUGGUCAAUAAUGACGGCAAGGAGUAUUUGGCGAAAAAUAGUGAGUGUAAAGUGAAAAGUGAGUGAAGUGAUGGAUGGUCAAGUAUUAUGGCAAGGGGCACAUGACGAAAAAUAGUGAGUGAUAGUGAUAAAGUGAGAUCAAUUGCGAGUCAGAACAACAAUAAAAUGUACCGCAUGAUUAAAGAAAGAGCGGAAAUUAUUGAGCGCAUUGAUGGCCGCAAGCAAAAGCAACGGCGAAAUAUGAGUGCUUUUUUUUAAGGGAGAGUGAGAGUGAGUGAAUGUUGGUCAAUAAUGACGGCAAGGAGUAUCUGGCGAAAAACAGUGAGUGUAAAGUGAAAAGUGAGUGGAGUGAAGGAUGGUCAAGUAUGACGGCAAGGAGCACAUGGCCUAAAAUAGUGAGUGUAAAGUAAGUGAUAGUGAUAAAGUGAGAUCAAAUGCGAUUGAGAACAACGAUAAAAUGUACCGCAUGACUAAAGAAAGAGCGGAUAUAUUGAGCGCAUUGAUGGCCGCAAGCCAAAGUAACGGCAAAAUAUGAGUGUUUUUUUUCAGUGAGAGUGAGAGUGAGAGGGAUGAUCAAUUAUGACGGCAAAAUGCACAUGGCGAAAAGUAGUGGGUGUAAAGUGUAAAGUGAAAAGUGAGUGAUAGUGAUAAAGUGAGAUCAAAUGCGAGUGAGAACAACAAUAAAAUGUACCGCAUGACUAAAGAAAGAGCGGAAAUAUUGAGUGCAUUGAUGGCAGCAAGCAAAAGCAACGGCGAAAUAUGAGUGAUUUUUUUUCAGUGAGAGUGAGAGUGAGUAAGGAUGGUCAAUAAUGACGGCAAGGAGUAUCUGGCGAAAAAUAGUGAGUGUAAAGUGAAAAGUGAGUGAAGUGAAGGAUGGUCAAGUAUGAUGACAAGGAGCAUAUGGCACAAGUGAAAAGUGAGUGAUAGUGAUAAAGUGAGAUCCAAUGCAAGUGAGAACAACAAUUAAAUGUACCGCAUGACUAAAGAAAGAGCGGAUAUACUGAGCGCAUUGAUGGCUGCAAGCCAAAGCAACGGCAAAUUAUGAGUGUUUUUUUUUCAGUGAGAGUGAGAGGGAUGGUUGGUCCAUAAUGACGGCAAGAGGUACCUGGCGAAAAAUAAUGAGUGUAAAGUGUAAAGUGAAAAGUGAGUGAAGUGAAGGAUGGUCAAGUAAGACGGCAAGGAGCACACGGCAAAAAAGUGAGUGUAAAGUGAAA
RNAcentral lists this long non-coding RNA (1317 nucleotides) under Drosophila guanche. The record is from RNAcentral. Lineage: Eukaryota; Metazoa; Arthropoda; Insecta; Diptera; Drosophilidae.